This 435-nucleotide ribosomal RNA is filed under the name uncultured bacterium. RNAcentral's name for it is "partial 16S ribosomal RNA". It matches the Rfam family "Bacterial small subunit ribosomal RNA", at positions 28 to 507 of the family's 1533-position model. The record is from RNAcentral.
GAUGAACGCUGGCGGUAUGCUUAACACAUGCAAGUCGAACGGACUCUUCGGAGUUAGUGGCGGACGGGUGAGUAACGCGUGAGAAUCUGGCUUUGGGUUCGGGACAACCACUGGAAACGGUGGCUAAUACCGGAUGUGCCGAGAGGUAAAAGAGAAAUUGCCUGAAGAUGAGCUCGCGUCUGAUUAGCUAGUUGGUGAGGUAAAGGCUCACCAAGGCAGCGAUCAGUAGCUGGUCUGAGAGGAUGACCAGCCACACUGGGACUGAGACACGGCCCAGACUCCCACGGGGGGCAGCAGUGGAGAAUUUUCCGCAAGGGGCGAACGCCUGACGGAGCCAUACCGCGUGAGGGAAGAAGGCUCUUGGGUUGUAAACCUCUUUCCUUAGGGAAGAACAAAGUGACGGUACCUAAUGAAUAAGCAUCGGCUAACUACGUG